RNAcentral lists this long non-coding RNA (242 nucleotides) under Lathyrus oleraceus (garden pea). Its description in RNAcentral is "Pisum sativum (pea) long non-coding RNA (PSAT_LNC026515)". Lineage: Eukaryota; Viridiplantae; Streptophyta; Magnoliopsida; Fabales; Fabaceae. The record is from RNAcentral.
AGAGACAUACCCUUGAGAUCUCCUCGAGCAGUAUGGUGAUUUGUGGAUUAGACAUCCAUCAUUAGUUAUAAUCAAUUUCUACCCUAGCAUGUCAACUCUAUUUUUGUGCCAUCAUUAAUUUUAACUAUUCAUUUUCCAUCUAACAUUGUCGUUUUGCAUGCCCCUUGUUUGUACUUAUAGUUACCACACUUCACACUUUCACAAUUUUCACUCAUAUCGUACACAAACCUCUCUCUCUCUCU